Molecule: ribosomal RNA, 305 nt
Filed under: uncultured bacterium
Lineage: Bacteria
Description: bacterial SSU rRNA
Rfam family: Bacterial small subunit ribosomal RNA
Source: RNAcentral
CCUACGGGGGGCAGCAGUGAGGAAUAUUGGUCAAUGGGCGCGAGCCUGAACCAGCCAAGUCGCGUGAGGGAAGACGGUCCUAUGGAUUGUAAACCUCUUUUGUCGGGGAGCAAAAGACGCCACGCAUGGCGUUCCGAGAGUACCCGAAGAAAAAGCAUCGGCUAACUCCGUGCCAGCAGCCGCGGUAAUACGGAGGAUGCGAGCGUUAUCCGGAUUUAUUGGGUUUAAAGGGUGCGCAGGCGGAAGAUCAAGGCAGCGGUAAAAUUGAGAGGCUCAACAGCUGCGAGCGGUUGAAAAUGGUUGUC